This 494-nucleotide ribosomal RNA is filed under the name uncultured bacterium. Its description in RNAcentral is "bacterial SSU rRNA". It matches the Rfam family "Bacterial small subunit ribosomal RNA", at positions 34 to 507 of the family's 1533-position model. The record is from RNAcentral.
CGCUGGCGGCGUGCCUAAUACAUGCAAGUCGAGCGGAAUGAUGAAGAAGCUUGCUUCUUCUGAUUUUAGCGGCGGACGGGUGAGUAACACGUGGGCAAUCUACCUUGUAGAUUGGGAUAACUCCGGGAAACCGGGGCUAAUACCGAAUAAUCCAUUUUGCUUCAUGGCGAGAUGUUGAAAGACGGUUUCGGCUGUCACUACAAGAUGGGCCCGCGGCGCAUUAGCUAGUUGGUAGGGUAAUGGCCUACCAAGGCGACGAUGCGUAGCCGACCUGAGAGGGUGAUCGGCCACACUGGGACUGAGACACGGCCCAGACUCCUACGGGAGGCAGCAGUAGGGAAUCUUCCACAAUGGACGAAAGUCUGAUGGAGCAACGCCGCGUGAGUGAAGAAGGUUUUCGGAUCGUAAAACUCUGUUGUAAGGGAAGAACACGUACGAGAGUAACUGCUCGUACCUUGACGGUACCUUAUUAGAAAGCCACGGCUAACUACGUG